Long non-coding RNA from Aotus nancymaae (Ma's night monkey), 2378 nucleotides. Lineage: Eukaryota; Metazoa; Chordata; Mammalia; Primates; Aotidae. The record is from Ensembl.
GGAGAAGGGCAGGGCACUUCCUUCCUGUGCCCCUCCCCUCUAUCGUCCGUCUCCCCCUCUCUAUUUUUACCUCUCUGCUCUCUUGCCCCUAAGCCUUUUCUCUCCCCAUCUGGCUUUUCUCUCCAUCGGUCAGUGCGCUCAGCUUGCACUGCCCUCCAGCCUGUCUCUAAAAAAGACAAAAACCGAAUGAUGAAGGAAAGUGACAGGAUUUCCAUUUCCAGAAACCCAAGUCUUGACUUUAUCCGCAAGGGUAAGUGUCGCUCAGAAUGCACUUUUCUUCUAGCAUAGGGCAUUUCCUUCCAUUUCGGGAUGGGGGUAGGAAAGGGGCUUGUGGGACCCCCUGUCUUUCACUUGGCUGUUCAGAUUCUGCCAUCUUCAGGAGAGGGAUGGCCCUGCAAGUGGAUUCCAUUCAGUAUCUUGCCUGCGGAGGAUGAAGAAGCCAGGAGGGUCUCAAGAACGGAGCGCAGCUGUUGGGAGCAGCUCACUUGGAGGAGGAAAAUGUUUUCUCUUAGGCUGCCAUCAAGUCCUGCUGCUUCCAUCACAAUACUUCCAAAGCACUCCCAUUCUUGCAGCAUCACCGUCAAUGGGCUAAAUUCAGAAACGAACCCUGAGUUUUGGUAUAUAGCAAGGACUGAGUGCGCAGACCAGAGAAAGUUAGUCACCUUUGAAAAUCUCAUCUGAGAGGCUUACUUACUUCUAAUUCUUCUGAGUGAGGUACCUGAGGGAGUCUAUUAUACCUUCAGAAAGAAAUAAUGUUUUCUGUUUUGUUGCUAAAUUUACCAUGGAACCUUAAAUAAAGAAUAGUGAAACUUUAUUAGGGAAGGAAAGUCGGGAGAAGAGAGUGAUUAAUAUACUUGGUUUUUCAAGUGCAAAGAAAUUUCAGCGAGCUGUUAAGUUUGAGUAUGUGUGUAACUUUUUAUUUCUCCUUGAUGUAUGAUUAGGUUUAUUACCUCCUGAUAUUAACAUUUACACACCAGCUAUAGUAGCAACACAUUUUACAUUCGUUUGCAAGUUAGUUUUCAAUCCAGUAUGUCUCUGGAAGGAAGCAAAAUCUUGCUAAAGAAUACAAACUAGCUCUUGUAAACCAGAAUAUGAUAUUUUUGACAGCAACUAAAGGGAAGAGAGAGAGAGAGAUGAGAACUCAGGAUUUGCUAAGCACACAAUAUGGUGGGUGCUUGUUGCUGUAAUACACAUUUUAUCCUUAAUUCUCACUACAAUCUGAAGACAGACAUGAUCUCCAUUUUAUAGAUGAGGAUACUCAGACUUCAAGGAAUAUGGGUAUUUCGUAAAUUUAGCCUGCUGGUCCUGAGAGAGGCAGGUGGAGCUGGCAUGCAGACCUAGCCUUUCUGAGCCCAGAUUUAGUGUUUUUCCCAUUCUGCCAGACUGGUCACGGGAAAAUGCCCCGCUACAGCGCCAUCUUCAAGUCAUGCCUAUUCCAACUGGCUCUCCAAAGGCAUUAGGACAUGCAUUUUCAAUGGGGGCGAUAUUGUCCCCAGUGGGGCAAAAAUUGGUUCUUGGGAAGAGGCAGGGAUCUUUCUCUUGCUGUAAAGCACCAGUAUAGUACACAAAUAGAUAUCCAGCAUGCCUGUGCUGUUGGCAUCUCAUGGAGGGGGUGAUUAGGAACAAAUGUGUCUAAAAAAGGCUGGUUGUAGGGGUGCUAAUGAAAACAAGGUUGACCACUGGGCAAAGGGAAGAGGAGAGGCCCAAGAGAUAUGAGCGGCUGUUCAGAGGAUUGCCGCAUCUGCUGUUGGUCUGGGACCAUAAUGGGGAAAUGACCUGGAGCCCCAGGUGCCUCUGGUUCUUUCUCAUUCUUUCUGAACAUGGAAGUUCAGAGAAGGCGUAGACCACAGCCAAUAAGUGGAAUCUGUUGCUAGAUCUUCAUCCCGACCUUUUGUCCUCCAACUCCUUAGAAACUUCACUGGUAGAUUAAUCUCACACAUGGCAAUAGCAAAAAGGCUUCAAGGAAAUGAACAGUAGCUCCUUUCCCUAAGCAGCUUGGGACGCCUGAAGUGGAAACACUUUCUAGAGCAAGGAUUCAAAGACCCUUCCAUCUAUCCAAGUCACAGCUCCCCCGGGGACCCUAUUGGUCUGGGACAUGUGUGUUGUUCCCCAACUGCUCUCCCGUAAUUGGCACCAAGGGUGGGGGAAGUUGAAGGCUUUGCGGAAAACGAAGCUAAUCAUUAGGUCUACCUAAAGAUUCCUCCACCAAAGUGGGGUUUGAGGCUUUAGUCCUGUGAGCUCAGGGGUCUAUCUUGUCACUCAUACAGGGGACUGAGGAAGUGGCUGCAGUGAUUGAAUUCUUUUGUGUUACUUCUCUGCCCUUGACAGAGCAGAACCUGAGGCAGGCAUCCUCUGGAAUAACAGUGCCGCUCACCUCU